RNAcentral lists this ribosomal RNA (332 nucleotides) under uncultured Geobacter sp. RNAcentral describes it as "bacterial SSU rRNA". It matches the Rfam family "Bacterial small subunit ribosomal RNA", at positions 568 to 898 of the family's 1533-position model. Lineage: Bacteria; Pseudomonadati; Thermodesulfobacteriota; Desulfuromonadia; Geobacterales; Geobacteraceae. The record is from RNAcentral.
CGUGCAGGUGGUUUUCUAAGUUUCGUGUGAAAUCCCAUGGCUCAACCAUGGAACGGCACGGAAAACUGGAAGACUUGAAUACGGGAGAAGAGGGCGGAAUUCCCAGUGUAGAGGUGAAAUUCGUAGAUAUUGGGAGGAACACCGGUGGCGAAAGCGGCUCUCUAGACCGAUAUUGACGCUCAUACGCGAGAGCGUGGGUAGCAAACAGGAUUAGAUACCCUGGUAGUCCACGCUGUAAACGAUGGAUGCUAGGUGUUGCGGGAGUUGACCCCCGCAGUGCCGAAGUCAACACAUUAAGCAUCCCGCCUGGGAAGUACGGUCGCAAGACUAAA